RNAcentral lists this transfer RNA (83 nucleotides) under Canis lupus familiaris (dog). It matches the Rfam family "tRNA". Rfam says of the family: Transfer RNA (tRNA) molecules are approximately 80 nucleotides in length. Their secondary structure includes four short double-helical elements and three loops (D, anti-codon, and T loops). The record is from Rfam by way of RNAcentral. RNAcentral also lists the same sequence under 1 other name. Lineage: Eukaryota; Metazoa; Chordata; Mammalia; Carnivora; Canidae.
GCCCGGGUGGCUCAGCAGUUGAGCACCAGCCUUCAGCCCAGGGUGUGAUCCUGGAGACCCGGGAUCAAGUCCCGCAUCGGGCU